UUGACCUCGGAUCAGGUAGGGAUACCCGCUGAACUUAAGCGCGGAGGAAAAGAAACCAACAGGGAUUGCCUCAGUAACGGCGAGUGAAGCGGCAAAAGCUCAAAUUUUAAAGCUGACAUCUUCGGUGUCCGCGUUGUAAUUUUGUGAGGCAUCUCCGGGUAGGGCGCCGGCCUAAGUUCCUUGGAACAGGACGUCACAGAGGGUGAGAAUCCCGUGCUUGGCUGGCUGUCCCCGUCCAUGUGAGGUGUCUUCGACGAGUCGAGUUGUUUGGGAAUGCAGCUCAAAAUGGGUGGUAAAUUUCAUCUAAAGCUAAAUAUUGGUGGGAGACCGAUAGCGCACAAGUAGAGUGAUCGAAAGAUGAAAAGCACUUUGAAAAUAGAGUUAAAAAGUACGUGAAAUUGUUGAAAGGGAAGCGCUUGAGACCAGACUUCGGUAAGGGGUGAUCAGCCGUCCUUCUGGGCGGUGCACUUGCCCCCCUCCGGGCCAGCAUCGGUUGAGGCGGCGGGAUAAAGGUCCCGGGAAUGUGGCUCCUUCACGGGAGUGUUAUAGCCCGGGUGAAUGCCGCCAGCUUCGACCGAGGACCGCACCCGC
This 591-nucleotide ribosomal RNA is filed under the name Morchella fekeensis. RNAcentral describes it as "eukaryotic LSU rRNA". It matches the Rfam family "Eukaryotic large subunit ribosomal RNA", at positions 1 to 603 of the family's 3401-position model. Lineage: Eukaryota; Fungi; Ascomycota; Pezizomycetes; Pezizales; Morchellaceae. The record is from RNAcentral. RNAcentral also lists the same sequence under 6 other names.